CAACUCUCCUGUAUCGCUGAUUACAAACACCGUCGGUGAUACGCUAUCAACAGCCAAAAUGUGGCCUUCGCUAGUCACAGCUAGGCCAGCUACAAUAUCGAUGUAACGAAUUGCUAUUUUCUUGAUAAAAUGACCACUUUUUGGUACCAUAAUUGGCCCUCCUCCUUACCAGGAACACCAAAUUGGAAUUUGAAUAUGCCAGUCUUAUCAAAUAUCUAAAAAUAGAUUUCGAAUAUUAAUACGAGCAGAGAAUUUAAAUUGGCUAAUUUUCAAAUAUUGAAAAAAGUACCUGAAUUCUGUGAUUAUUCGUGUCGGCAACAAUAAUAUCUUCAUCAGCACUUAAACAAAAACCGUGAGAACCGGAACCAGUUACAUUGCCAACUGUAUUUCCCACUACUACAGGCAUGUUAUGCAUGGAGUCUCCUCUUAAAUCAUCUACAAGAAAUAUCGAUAUGUAAUCAAACCGUUUUGACUUAUUUGAAAUAUACAAUAGUCCAG
This is a long non-coding RNA of Bombus pyrosoma, 498 nucleotides long. RefSeq lists it as uncharacterized. The transcript has 3 exons. The record is from RefSeq and is a predicted model, not a curated record. NCBI's taxonomy places the organism in Eukaryota, Metazoa, Arthropoda, Insecta, Hymenoptera, Apidae.